CCUGUCUGUAUGCCUAUGAUUGGACUGUGUAUUGUGAGCUAAACAAGGCCCUGCCUACACUCUGGUCGAAACUACAUACUACAGUCCUGUGGUUUUACAGAUUUUCCUUUCACAUAACACAGCCAAGUCUAUAGUGCAACUAUUUAUCAGUAAAAAUUGUGCUAUUCACUGCACUACAGCAGGGGCUGAUAAAAAGAUGCCUGGAUGCCAAGAACAGAUGCUGCUGUACAUGAAGAUUUAGAAGAAAGGAAAAAAAGAAAGGUGUUGACUUGAACCACAGACUCCAGGACAUUCAGAGAUAAACCGUCCCUACGUACUAAGUUCUUGAAGUGUGGACACCAUCAAGAAGCCCAACAUGCUAUUUGUGGUAUUUCCUAUACACAGAAUAGGAAUACUGUAAAUAUCUUGGAAUCUUUAACAACUCUGGAUGGUAAAUGUGCAUUUAUUUAUUUAUUUCUAUAUGGUGCUCAUUGGAGACAACUGUCGAAUA
Molecule: long non-coding RNA, 490 nt
Filed under: Chrysemys picta bellii (western painted turtle)
Lineage: Eukaryota; Metazoa; Chordata; Testudines; Emydidae
Description: lncRNA (ENSCPBG00000025874.1)
Source: RNAcentral